Molecule: transfer RNA, 72 nt
Filed under: Camelus ferus (Wild Bactrian camel)
Lineage: Eukaryota; Metazoa; Chordata; Mammalia; Artiodactyla; Camelidae
Rfam family: tRNA
About the family: Transfer RNA (tRNA) molecules are approximately 80 nucleotides in length.
Source: Rfam by way of RNAcentral
GAGGGUAUAGGUCAGUGGUCGAGUGCAUGCUUAGCAUGCAUGAGGUCCUGGGUUCAAUCCCCAGUACCUCCA